This 222-nucleotide unclassified non-coding RNA is filed under the name Hevea brasiliensis (rubber tree). Lineage: Eukaryota; Viridiplantae; Streptophyta; Magnoliopsida; Malpighiales; Euphorbiaceae. The record is from RNAcentral.
UUUUUUUUUGGAAUAAAAUUAAAACACUAAGGUAAGAUUAUAUUAUCACUAGGUAGGAUUAGAACACAGCCUUCUCUGUUCACUAAGAGAACUUCGGUUCUCAAAUACAACAGAAGGCAAAUUCUCAAAUCCAAAAUACCAACCAAAAUUUCCAAAUUCUAACUAGGAAAAAAGCCAUCUAAAUAACAUAAUCAGACCACUCAGCUAUGUGCGAAGUGUGGU